AUGAUAGGUCUAUUUUGGAAUUGUAGGGGGGCAGGAAAAACAGGGAUGAAAACCUGCCUAUCCCACAUUAUUAGUGACCAUUCCCUUGAUUUUGAGACUUUAAAAAAGAAUUUUCUGGAUAGUUAUUUCAGAAAACUUGACCCACAUAAUUUGUUUGAGUGGGAAUGGACCCCCUCAAUUGGUAAGGCCGGGGGCAUCCUAUGUGGGGUUAGAAAGGAGAAAUUUGAAGUAGUUGCUUGGAGGAAAGGUAGAUUCAUUCUUCAAGUAUCUCUGUAUGAUAUCAAUAUGAAGAAAAUUUGGACGCUCUGUACUUUUUAUGUAGUGGCCCACGAAUGUGAUAAAAGUGAAUUCCUUAGUGAAUUUGCUGAUUUUUGCUUCCAUAUUCAAACACCACUAUUGAUCGGAGGUGACUUCAAUAUCCUCAGGCAUAGUGGGGAGAAGAAUAAGAAAUGGCGGUGA
RNAcentral lists this ribosomal RNA (459 nucleotides) under Triticum aestivum (bread wheat). Its description in RNAcentral is "partial small subunit ribosomal RNA". The record is from RNAcentral. Lineage: Eukaryota; Viridiplantae; Streptophyta; Magnoliopsida; Poales; Poaceae.